UAGGGAAUUGUUCGCAAUGGGCGCAAGCCUGACGACGCAACGCCGCGUGGAGGAUGAAGAUCUUCGGGUCGUAAACUCCUUUCGAUUGGGACGAAUUCCCCGGGGGUGAACAGCCUCUGGGGGUGACGGUACCGAGAGAAGAAGCCCCGGCUAACUCCGUGCCAGCAGCCGCGGUAAUACGGGGGGGGCAAGCGUUGUUCGGAAUUACUGGGCGUAAAGGGCUCGUAGGCGGCCAACUCAGUCGGACGUGAAAUCCCCCGGCUCAACCGGGGAACUGCGUCCGAUACUGGAUGGCUUGAGUCCGGGAGAGGGAUGCGGAAUUCCAGGUGUAGCGGUGAAAUGCGUAGAUAUCUGGAGGAACACCGGUGGCGAAGGCGGCAUCCUGGACCGGCACUGACGCUGAGGAGCGAAAGCCAGGGGAGCAAACGG
Molecule: ribosomal RNA, 429 nt
Filed under: uncultured bacterium
Lineage: Bacteria
Description: bacterial SSU rRNA
Rfam family: Bacterial small subunit ribosomal RNA
Source: RNAcentral